AGGACGAACGCUGGCGGCGUGCUUAACACAUGCAAGUCGAACGAUGACGGAGAGCUUGCUCUUCUGAUUAGUGGCGAACGGGUGAGUAACACGUGAGUAACCUGCCCUUGACUCUGGGAUAAGCACUGGAAACGGUGUCUAAUACCGGAUACGAGCUUCAGCCGCAUGGCUAGGAGCUGGAAAGAAUUUCGGUCAAGGAUGGACUCGCGGCCUAUCAGCUAGUUGGUGAGGUAAUGGCCCACCAAGGCGACGACGGGUAGCCGGCCUGAGAGGGUGACCGGCCACACUGGGACUGAGACACGGCCCAGACUCCUACGGGAGGCAGCAGUGGGAAUAUUGCACAAUGGGCGAAAGCCUGAUGCAGCAACGCCGCGUGAGGACGACGGCCUUCGGUUGUAACCGUUCUUUAGUAGGAAGAAGACGAAGUGACGUACUGACAGAAAAGCACCGACUAACUACGUGCAGCAGCCGCGUAAC
This 477-nucleotide ribosomal RNA is filed under the name uncultured soil bacterium. Its description in RNAcentral is "bacterial SSU rRNA". It matches the Rfam family "Bacterial small subunit ribosomal RNA", at positions 26 to 524 of the family's 1533-position model. The record is from RNAcentral.